UACGUAGGGUGCGAGCGUUAAUCGGAAUCACUGGGCGUAAAGGGCGCGUAGGCGGCCUGGUAAGUAGGGGGUGAAAUCCUGCGGCUUAACCGCAGGGCUGCCUUCUAAACUGUCAGGCUUGAGCACGGUAGAGGCAGAUGGAAUUCCCGGUGUAGCGGUGGAAUGCGUAGAGAUCGGGAAGAACAUCAGUGGCGAAGGCGGUCUGCUGGGCCGUUGCUGACGCUGAGGCGCGACAGCGUGGGGAGCAAACAGG
Molecule: ribosomal RNA, 253 nt
Filed under: uncultured bacterium
Lineage: Bacteria
Description: partial 16S ribosomal RNA
Rfam family: Bacterial small subunit ribosomal RNA
Source: RNAcentral